Molecule: ribosomal RNA, 350 nt
Filed under: Escherichia coli
Lineage: Bacteria; Pseudomonadati; Pseudomonadota; Gammaproteobacteria; Enterobacterales; Enterobacteriaceae
Description: partial 23S ribosomal RNA
Rfam family: Bacterial large subunit ribosomal RNA
Source: RNAcentral
AACGGAUAAAAGGUACUCCGGGGAUAACAGGCUGAUACCGCCCAAGAGUUCAUAUCGACGGCGGUGUUUGGCACCUCGAUGUCGGCUCAUCACAUCCUGGGGCUGAAGUAGGUCCCAAGGGUAUGGCUGUUCGCCAUUUAAAGUGGUACGCGAGCUGGGUUUAGAACGUCGUGAGACAGUUCGGUCCCUAUCUGCCGUGGGCGCUGGAGAACUGAGGGGGGCUGCUCCUAGUACGAGAGGACCGGAGUGGACGCAUCACUGGUGUUCGGGUUGUCAUGCCAAUGGCACUGCCCGGUAGCUAAAUGCGGAAGAGAUAAGUGCUGAAAGCAUCUAAGCACGAAACUUGCCCC